UUCUUUUUAAAAAUAUUUAAAAUAUUCACUGUUAUUCUUUAAAACAAUUUAAUUGUCAUUAAUUUUUUUCGUUUUCACUUCACUAAUCAUAUCUUCACAAGCAUCAAAAACUCGUGCCGCGCCAUGAUUAGCAACAGCUUUUAAUUAUCUCUUACCUAAAAUCCACUAAAAGUCAAUUUCUCGAGUUAUUUUUUGCUAAUUAGAGAAUAAAAGAAUAAUAAAAAGCCUUUUUCGUUCGCGUUGCCGUUUAGAAUAAUCAAAAGUAAAGGUCGCGCGAUCUCUCGUUGGAACAUCAUCAAGUUUCGUAAUCGAUAAACCUUUUAGGGAGAUCGAUAUAAUCGUUAUUACGAUUCAGUUGCUUUUAAUUCCUCGAAAUUUCACUGAAAAUUAAUUUCAGUCAAUCAAAGCUGUAAAAGAUUCACAUUUAUACGAAUGCAUCGUCGAGGAAUAAAGAAAAAGAAAAAAAAAUCAGUCAGAUUUAUUGCUUUGGCUCCAGACAUCCGUAUUGAGUGUCAUUGGAGGCUAUUUCAACCGUGCUUCUUUUUUUUUAUCCCGAUUCUUUUUUACGACGUCUUGAAAAGUGGUGUAUAACUGCUGCACGAUGAUAUGAUAAAAAAAAAAAAAGAAGAAAAAUAAUAAUAUAACAAGAUUGCGCAAUUUUUAUUGCUUCUCUCUCGUCAUCAUGCAUUACAUGAACUUUCUUCCACUUUACGAUGAGGUCGCUUCCCCGCCAACAAAUUGCAAUGGCGGUUAUCGCGGUGUGAAGUGAAGUAACAAUACGACACAAUAAUUAACAAUACAAAUUUUACCCGAUGGUUCAUUCAAAUGUUUUUUUUUUCCACGCUUUAUUAAAUUUUCUCCAUGGUUCUUGCGGUUGCAAGAAAUAUUUAUGUUGCAUUUGAUUACGAGGUACUGGAAGAUAUCUUUAAGAGUGUAAUAAAAGAGAGCUUCUAAAGCUGAAUCGAAAGCGCAAUUUUCAGUUGAACAUAGUUUGUAAUGCUGAAUGUAGUUGUAAUGUACAUUCCCUCUUGAAAAAUUCAUAAUAACAGCGAACACUCUUGCAGCGAUAAACGGUAUCGUCCGAGGAUUUAAAGAUGCGUUAAAUGGAUUGUUUGAAUUGUUUUAUUAUUCCUGUUUUUAUCAACCAUGUGUAAGCCAAAGUGAAAUCUCGACGAAGCCUAAUAUCUCCUCGAAUUCGAUUGAAUGAAUUCUAGAUUUCUAUUAUUUGCUCGCGUGUUAUUGCGAAUCGAUAAUCAUGGAUAAGAAUUGAAUCAAUUAAAAUCAGAAAUUAUCAAUAUUGUUUUUUUUAUCCUCGAUUGCUUGCGUGUUAAGAAUUAGAAAUAAUAAAAAUACAGUAACAAUUAAAUGUAAAUAAUAAAUAUUUAAUUACGUAUACCAAAAAGUGUCUAGUUAAUAGAGAUAUACGUUAAUAACACGUCUUCUUUCAGUUGUGACAUUAAAACACGCAUAAGAUUUAUCAAUUUAUAUAAUCGAUGAUUGAUGAUUUGUUCCGUUACCAGGUUUCUACCCACUUGAAAUGCUACUUUACGCUUCACGAACCCUGUUCAGAGCGAAUCCUAUUCAAUCAGAUUAAUGAUAUCUCUGUACCGCUUCCGAUCUAUGAUUUCUCUUAUUCCAGUUGUAAUGCGAUGAUUUAUGCUUGGCAAAACGUAUGACAAUAAGACCGUUGUGUAACGAAAUACAAAUUGGCAUUGGACUGGCUACGAAUUGCUUGAUAAAAAGAUCGACUCCAAAGGAAAGAAAAAAAAAAAGCUUGCAUAAAAGUUUAUUUUGCAUAAAAUAUCCAUUCAUAGACAGUGUGAUUUUGGAACGAUGUGUGUUCGGAUCGAUCGAAUGGAAGAUUGAUGAUCCUAACAUCAUCGAUCACGAGAGAUGGACAAUCGCAUUAAAAAUAUUUCCGUGGAUGGAAAGUCGAUUCUACGUAUAAAAAUGUCGAAAAAAAAGCGUUCUUUGUUUUUAAGAAUAUCGAAUUUGGAUAAAUGUCACCUAAUUUCCAAUUUCUAAUCUCUGGAUAACGAGUGCAUCAUUAACAGAAUAUUAUUCACACGCGUGAAACUAAGCAAGAUAAAAGUGUCGAGUAAAAUUUUUUCGUUCUUAAAAUUUCUUUUUCUAAUUUUAAAUACUGGCCUGAUCAUUUUAUAUUAUUAUAUAGAAAACGAGAGCUCGAACAAAAAAAAAUUUGUCACUCGAAAUACCGUGACACACAUCACUUUCCUUCCUCUCGAACCCUUGCUCCGCUAUUCGAACGUCCCAUACGAACGAUGGCCGAAAGUAAAUGGUAUCUUUUCGCCCGACACGUUCGAGAAAUCAAUCGUGGAAUCAGAACCACGCGUAGUUUCACCCAUGAAUAAUAAUCGAACGAAUCGGAUGCUUAAAAAUGGUGGACGGGCGCGCAAUGGGCCGAGGUCGGCCUAAAUCAUCGUCAAAAGUGGCACGGUAUCCUGCUAGGACGUCCUUUCCCGCCUGAUCGAUGAUGUCAGAGCCGAGCUUCGUCGUCGUCGUCGUCCUUCCACCCACGAAAAGGGAAAGUGAGAGAAUCCCGAGGAGCUCCUCUUCUUCCCAAUGGGGGGGACGCGGAUGAAUCGCCUCUAUGCACCGAGAAAGGGGACAAUGGGAAAUCAAGGAUCGAGACCGAGUCAUUCACGGAAGAUGAUUGGAAGAUCCGUCCAAGUGUCAAGUCGUUGACAUCGUCAUCUUGACGAUGAACCUGAAUGAAGGAUGAGCGAAGAUUUCGUUGGGUCGAGAAAGAGGAGCGAAGAAAGUUUGAUGGAUCACCGUUAAGGUUGAUGGAGAGCGGAUGUUGGUCGUUGAUUGAAUACGAUUCUCAUUUUUAUUACCCGAUUUCAAUUCGUUUGUCGUUUUUCUUUUUAUUUUCUUUUUUUUUUUCUCUCUUUCGUGUAUUUCUUGAAUUAAUGUUAACUUUUAUUAGAAGAGAAGUUAAUUGAUUAAGGAAUUAAAAAGGAAAUUAAUAAUGGAGAAUAUAGGAAAUAGAUUUUUCUUUACUCGUUAUUGGAAGUCAAUUAUCAAUUAUAAGAGAAAUGUGAAUGAAGUUUUGAUUUAUUACUUUAUGCUCGGAAGAUUCGCAUCCCGCAAAAAGAUCAAGUUUUCAAUUAAAAGUUUUAAAGUAGCCAUCACAAAAUUAACAUUCAUUUAUCAAAUUUUUUUUUUCUUUUUCUCGAUGUCUAAAGAUUAUAAACGUUGUUAAACGUUGUUUUCAUUGCCUGCAAUUAAUUUCUAUUAAACAUUAACGCGCCGCCAUAAUAUCUAAAUUAUUCGUAAAUUGAUAGAUUUGAUCUUUUAACGGGGAAUUCUUGCUAAAAUAUAAUUACGAUAUCUUAAUAUCGUAUCACGUAUCAGGGAUUACAUCGCAAUCGGAAUGGCAUGCUUCGUCGGAUACAGAUUAUCGAAUUACGGAGAGAUGUUUAUCGAAUAGGGCAUCUGAAAUUACAGUGUGUGUUUCGUGUACACAAGUGUCUUCGCGAGAUUAAAGCGUGAAAAAAUUCGCAUUCGAUUGCAAAGCGAAGGAACGUGUGUAUACACGUGACAAGAUUGAUCCCCGAGAAAAGGAUUUUGCAUAUCGAUAGAAGGGAAUCUAUGAUCGAUUAAAAAUAAAAAUCACGUGUAUAUUAGUAUUGUAGGAAUUUAUUAGAACGAAAAGAGUAUUAGAAAUUCAUUUUUUUUUUUUUAUGAAAAAUAUCAUAAAAUUGUAGAAAUUGUAUUUCCACAUCUAUACACGGUAAUAUAGAUAAAUUUUUUUAUCGAUAAUUGGGAAUUACUUGUAUAUACGUUGAUAUUUUUUUUUCUUGUCUAUCUAUAAAUCUCCAUGUUGUAAAAUUUGUUUGGAUAUAUUUUGUUCGAGAUAAACAAGAUUCUGAUUUAUAUAUCAGAAUUAUUGAACGGUAAGUCAAAAAUUCUAUUUCGUAUACGUUUCAAUCAUGCGUUAUCAAACAUGCAGUAAGAAAAAUUGUACGAGCGUGUUGUACAAAAAUAACUUUAAAAUGUUAUCGAUAAAUAGUUAAAAUUUGAAAGAAAUUCGAAAGAAAAAUAUUCAAAUAUUUGGGAUAUUAAAUUCUCGAUGGGAUUUUUGCAAUUUGAUCCGAGACGAUCGGAAUGGAAAACGGAAGAAACGCGGUUAGUCGUAGUUCGUCGCUUGUUCUGAUAACACAAUCACGCUGCAUCGUAUAAAAUCAAACAUUCGCUAAUAACCAAGGUUUUUUGUGCACGCAGUAUCGCGAUUAAAAUUGCAGUCCGCUCGGUGGAAUAUAACACGAAAGCAACAUUUGAUAUCCUCGCCUCGCUGUUUCUAGUCGACGAGUCGAAAGCGAAAACGAAAAAUUUGAAAAUGAAAUAUGUUAGCGUUAAAUAAUAACGAAUUUUUGAUCGGAUCAAUCGUUCGUCGCGAUUACAAUCCUUCGAAUAUUUUAAAACGAUUUUUCUCGUUUCGUUUCAAACAAGUGAUUCGUUACUUUUAUAAUAAUUCGUCUUUUUAAAUCGUGUUUACGAGCCUCCGGCAUCUGAUGACUCCUUGAAAAUGGGAACGCAGAUUCUUGGACCAGAACAGCGAUACUAGGUGGUUCAAGAUGUUUCUAUAUAUACUGUUUCUCCACUUCCUAUAUCUGCAACCACAGCAGCUGUUUGAUGCCCAG
Molecule: long non-coding RNA, 4667 nt
Filed under: Apis mellifera (honey bee)
Lineage: Eukaryota; Metazoa; Arthropoda; Insecta; Hymenoptera; Apidae
Description: uncharacterized LOC113219151, transcript variant X2
Source: RNAcentral